Molecule: long non-coding RNA, 1876 nt
Organism: Gallus gallus (chicken)
Lineage: Eukaryota; Metazoa; Chordata; Aves; Galliformes; Phasianidae
Exons: 3
Source: RefSeq, a predicted model, not a curated record
GGCGGCUCCGCGGGGUCAAGCAUCGGAACGCGGCCGUAAGAUCCCGCGCGUGCCGGAAGGUAUCUUCCCCAUCCCACGCGCCUACAGCUGUGCUCUUCAGGGUCUCUCUCCUGUGUGAACGCGCUGGUGGAUCACGAGGUGGGAUCUUCUUUUGAAGCCCUUUGAACAUUCAGAGCAUUUGAACGGUCUCUCUCCGGUGUGGAUGCGCUCAUGGAUCAGGAGGUUGGAACUGCUUCUGAAGCCCUUCUCACACUCAGGGCACUUGUAGGGUCUGUCUUCUGAGUGGAUGCGCUCAUGGUAAUCGAGCUGAGAACUGCACUUGAAGCUCUUCUCACACCUGGGACACUUGAAGGGUUUGUCUCCUGUGUGGAUGCGUUGAUGGACAGCAAGGUAGGAAUGAUCCUUAAAGCUCUUCCCACACUCAUUGCAUGGGUUCUGCCCGUUCUUCUGGCUCAGCUCUUUUGCCUGCUUUUGACCUUUGCCACAGGCCGGGGUUUCACUCACUCUCUUUCCUGGAUGGUUUCCCAGAGGCUUCUUCAUGUGCUUUCCUUGCUCCAGGCCUCCUUGGAAUUCCCUUCUGGUUUUCCCAAGAGAGAUGCCACCCCACUGACUUCUGGAUACACCACUCUCCUGCAGAUUCUCCUUUGAAUUUGUGAUCCCAUCACCUGCUGGAUGACAAAGAAAAUCCAGAACUAGCUUACUGUGCCCAAAAUAUGCACCAGCUGAUCCCACAGGGGCUCCUGCCAACCCCAACCUCCUCCUUUCCUCCAUCACCUCACCCGAGCAGAUGUCUCCUGCCAUGUCCUUCAGGCUGUGUACAUCUGGGAUCCAGGGAUCUUCCCCUCCUUCGAGCAGGGGGAUCACCACAGGUUUAGAUGCUUAAAUGAUAGAAAUAGUGGAGAUGAAAGCAUUUCCUUGAUUCUGGCAAAGCUGCUUACGCAGCACCUCCACUGUGUCCCCCUCCCUUCUUAUGAAACCACAACUAGGGCCUGAGUGACGUGGGGCCAACACAGACUGCCUUGCUUUGGAGUACAGCAGAAUUUUCCAUCUCUGAAAAUUAUGCUGGGGCUUUUCUUAAAAAACAUGACACACAGCAACGCAAGGAAAGCAUGCAGGGGGCUGAUCCUCCCCCUCCUGACUGAUGUCAGAGUGACAGCAGUGCAGCUGACUCUUCUAUCAGAGUGGGCCAUUCUGCACAGCCUAAGGUGUCCUGACAAGGAAGAAAGGCAGCAGUGCCCUCACCCAGCGAGGCUAUGCACUCAUACGUCUCCAGCAUCACAUCCCAGUACAGGGCUCGCCGCGCAGGGUCCAGCAGCGCCCACUCCUCCCUGCUGAAAUACACGGCCACGUCCCCAAAGGUCACGGGCUCCUGUAAACAAAAAGGCUCCUUGCUGCAACCACCUGGGGCCUGGGGACACAGCUUGUUGAGGAGGGAAACCCCAGCCCCAGCAGCUUCUCUCUCCAGCACACAAAUGCAUGGGCAAGGGCAUCUCACGCUCCCCUUGCGUUCACAUGCCUUGCAUCUCUGUCCCACUGACUGCUUCCCCAAGCCCCUACCUGGGAUGGAUGUGCUGUGGCCAUUUGCUGCCCUCCUGCAGGUUGGGACGGUCACAGGUGAAAGGCAGGCAGCCUGUGGGGACAAGAGGAACAGAGGGCAACUGUGAGGGAAUGCAGCAGUCCCCAUCCUACCCAGCCCUCCCCAGCUGUGGCAGCAGCUCAGCACCACAGUGCCCUUUGGUCGCUGCCCCCACAGUGAGAUGAGGAAGAGAACGAGAAGCAAAACAGAACUCGUGCGUUGAAAUAAUACCUAUUGACCAAAACAAGAAAGAAAACGGCAAAAAUACAAUUCAAUAAAACAAGCAUGUAUACAUAUAUA